RNAcentral lists this ribosomal RNA (253 nucleotides) under uncultured bacterium. Its description in RNAcentral is "partial 16S ribosomal RNA". It matches the Rfam family "Bacterial small subunit ribosomal RNA", at positions 524 to 776 of the family's 1533-position model. The record is from RNAcentral.
UACGAAGGGGGCUAGCGUUGCUCGGAAUCACUGGGCGUAAAGCGCACGUAGGCGGAUUCCUAAGUCGGUGGUGAAAUCCUGGAGCUCAACUCCAGAACUGCCUCCGAUACUGCGGGUCUCGAGUCCGGGAGAGGUGAGUGGAAUUCCUAGUGUAGAGGUGAAAUUCGUAGAUAUUAGGAAGAACACCAGUGGCGAAGGCGGCUCACUGGCCCGGUACUGACGCUGAGGCGCGAAAGCGUGGGGAGCAAACAGG